AAUGGCCGAAAGGCUGACGGAGCGACGCCGCGUGUAGGAAGACGCCCCUCGGGGUGUAAACUACUUUUAUUAGGGACGAAUUUCUGACGGUACCUAAUGAAUAAGGGGCUGCUAAACUCGUGCCAGCAGCAGCGGUAAUACGAGUGCCCCAAGCGUUAUCCGGAUUCAUUGGGCGUAAAGCGUCUGUAGGCGGUUUAUUAAGUCCUGCGUCAAAUCUUCGGGCUCAACCCGAAGGCCGCGCAGGAUACUGAUAGACUAGAGGAUGGAAGAGGUACAUGGAAUUACCGGUGUAGCGGUCAAAUGCGUUAAUAUCGGUAGGAACACCAAAUGCGAAGGCAGUGUACUGGUACAUUUCUGACGCUGAGAGACGAAAGCGUGGGGAGAGAAGGGGAUU
This 394-nucleotide ribosomal RNA is filed under the name uncultured Gammaproteobacteria bacterium. RNAcentral's name for it is "bacterial SSU rRNA". It matches the Rfam family "Bacterial small subunit ribosomal RNA", at positions 370 to 779 of the family's 1533-position model. Lineage: Bacteria; Pseudomonadati; Pseudomonadota; Gammaproteobacteria. The record is from RNAcentral.